AUGAUUGUGAAUGGGAAAUAUAGAAAAAGGAAGAUUAUCCAACUUGAACAGGACGAGGGUACAAUAGUAGGGCAUGAGAACGUAAAGUUGUACAUUUCCAACUUUUAUAAAAAGCUGUUUGGGGCACCAGUAGUGAAUUUUGUUUCACGCAACGAGGAUAUGGUUGAGGAUGUACCGCAGCUAGGAGAGGAUGAGAACGAGUUACUCACUACUCCUUUCACGGAAAAGGAGGUUUUCGAGGCGAUUUCGCAGAUGAAUAAUAAUAAGCCACCUGGCCCGGAUGACUUUUUAGUAGAAUUUUAUAAGAGAUGUUGGGAUAUAAUUAAGCUGGUCUGA
RNAcentral lists this ribosomal RNA (336 nucleotides) under Triticum aestivum (bread wheat). RNAcentral's name for it is "partial small subunit ribosomal RNA". The record is from RNAcentral. Lineage: Eukaryota; Viridiplantae; Streptophyta; Magnoliopsida; Poales; Poaceae.